RNAcentral lists this ribosomal RNA (200 nucleotides) under uncultured bacterium. Its description in RNAcentral is "partial 16S ribosomal RNA". It matches the Rfam family "Bacterial small subunit ribosomal RNA", at positions 524 to 723 of the family's 1533-position model. The record is from RNAcentral.
UACGUAGGGGGCUAGCGUUAUCCGGAAUUAUUGGGCGUAAAGCGCUCGUAGGCGGCUAUUUAAGUCGGAGGUGAAAGCCCAAGGCUCAACUGGGGAAGGGCAUUGGAAACUGGAUAGCUUGAGUCCAGGAGAGGAAAGUGGAAUUCCCUGUGUAGCGGUGAAAUGCGCAGAUAUUCGGAAGAACACCAGUGGCGAAGGCG